AACGCACAUUGCGCCCUCUGGUAUUCCGGGGGGCAUGCCUGUUCGAGCGUCAUAACGCCCAUCAAGCCCAGCUUGGUAUUGGGUGCUCGUCCUCCCCCAGGGGACGUGCCCGAAAGUCAGCGGCGGUGCGGCCGGUCCUCAAGCGUAGUAACUACUUCCGCUCUGAUGGCCCGGGCGUCCCAGCCGGACAACCACCUCAUAUUUCAAUGGUUGACCUCGGAUCAGGUAGGGAUACCCGCUGAACUUAA
This 248-nucleotide unclassified non-coding RNA is filed under the name uncultured Lecanoromycetes. RNAcentral's name for it is "sequence contains ITS2". The stretch from base 1 to 52 matches the Rfam family "5.8S ribosomal RNA", at positions 103 to 154 of the family's 154-position model. Lineage: Eukaryota; Fungi; Ascomycota; Lecanoromycetes. The record is from RNAcentral.